RNAcentral lists this transfer RNA (57 nucleotides) under Muntiacus reevesi (Reeves' muntjac). It matches the Rfam family "tRNA", at positions 8 to 63 of the family's 71-position model. From Rfam's summary of the family: Transfer RNA (tRNA) molecules are approximately 80 nucleotides in length. Their secondary structure includes four short double-helical elements and three loops (D, anti-codon, and T loops). Lineage: Eukaryota; Metazoa; Chordata; Mammalia; Artiodactyla; Cervidae. RNAcentral also lists the same sequence under 2 other names. The record is from Rfam by way of RNAcentral.
UAGCUCAGUUGGUAAAGAAUCUGCUUGCAAUGCAGGAGACCCUGGUUCGAUUCCUGG